CCUACGGGUGGCAGCAGUGAGGAAUAUUGGUCAAUGGGCGAGAGCCUGAACCAGCCAAUUCGCGUGAGGGAGUACUGCCCUAUGGGUUGUAAACCUCUUUUGUCGGGGAGCAAAAGCCGGACGUGUCCGGCUGUGAGAGUACCCGAAGAAAAAGCAUCGGCUAACUCCGUUCCAGCAGCCGCGGUCAUACUGAGGAUGCGAGCGUUAUCCGGAUUUAUUGGGUUUAAAGGGUGCGCAGGCGGAUUUUUAAGUCAGCGGGAAAAUCGUGGGGCUAAACCCCAUCCAGCCGAUGACACUGGGGAUCUAGAGUGUGCGAGAGGUAGGCGGAAUGCGUGGUGUAGCGGUGAAAUGCAUAGAUAGGACGCAGAACCCCGAUUGCGAAGGCAGCAUACCGGUGCACAACUGACGCUCAGGCACGAAAGCGUGGGUAGCGAACAGGAUUAGAUACCCGUGUAGUC
This 458-nucleotide ribosomal RNA is filed under the name uncultured bacterium. RNAcentral's name for it is "partial 16S ribosomal RNA". It matches the Rfam family "Bacterial small subunit ribosomal RNA", at positions 338 to 795 of the family's 1533-position model. The record is from RNAcentral.